AUUGAACGCUGGCGGCAUGCUUUACACAUGCAAGUCGAACGGUAACAGGCCGCAAGGUGCUGACGAGUGGCGAACGGGUGAGUAAUGCAUCGGAACGUGCCCAGUCGUGGGGGAUAACUACUCGAAAGAGUAGCUAAUACCGCAUACGAUCUAUGGAUGAAAGCGGGGGACCGUAAGGCCUCGCGCGAUUGGAGCGGCCGAUGUCAGAUUAGGUAGUUGGUGGGGUAAAGGCUCACCAAGCCAACGAUCUGUAGCUGGUCUGAGAGGACGACCAGCCACACUGGGACUGAGACACGGCCCAGAUUCCUACGGGAGGCAGCAGUGGGGAAUUUUGGACAAUGGGCGCAAGCCUGAUCCAGCAAUGCCGCGUGCAGGAAGAAGGCCUUCGGGUUGUAAACUGCUUUUGUACGGAACGAAACGGCUCUGGUUAAUACCCGGGGCUAAUGACGGUACCGUAAGAAUAAGCACCGGCUAACUACGUG
Molecule: ribosomal RNA, 482 nt
Filed under: uncultured bacterium
Lineage: Bacteria
Description: partial 16S ribosomal RNA
Rfam family: Bacterial small subunit ribosomal RNA
Source: RNAcentral